Molecule: long non-coding RNA, 206 nt
Filed under: Populus trichocarpa (black cottonwood)
Lineage: Eukaryota; Viridiplantae; Streptophyta; Magnoliopsida; Malpighiales; Salicaceae
Description: long non-coding RNA (PTRI_LNC001225)
Source: RNAcentral
UUUUUUUAAGCUAUGUUUUUUUUCUUUUUUCUUUGUUUUUUUAAAGCUAUUUUUUUUUCUUUUCUUUGUUUUUUUUAAUGAAUAUUUUUUUGUUAAAUUUUUUUCUAUUUAGUUAUUAAACUUUCAUGAUAUGGAUUCCGGGUUUGACGGGUUGAUUAUAACAUAUACUAAAAUUGUUUAGUCUUUUACUGUGGACUGCACAGUGC